GUGUGACUGCGUACCUUUUGUAUAAUGGGUCAGCGACUUAUAUUCUGUAGCAAGGUUAACCGAAUAGGGGAGCCGAAGGGAAACCGAGUCUUAACUGGGCGUUAAGUUGCAGGGUAUAGACCCGAAACCCGGUGAUCUAGCCAUGGGCAGGUUGAAGGUUGGGUAACACUAACUGGAGGACCGAACCGACUAAUGUUGAAAAAUUAGCGGAUGACUUGUGGCUGGGGGUGAAAGGCCAAUCAAACCGGGAGAUAGCUGGUUCUCCCCGAAAGCUAUUUAGGUAGCGCCUCGUGAAUUCAUCUCCGGGGGUAGAGCACUGUUUCGGCAAGGGGGUCAUCCCGACUUACCAACCCGAUGCAAACUGCGAAUACCGGAGAAUGUUAUCACGGGAGACACACGGCGGGUGCUAACGUCCGUCGUGAAGAGGGAAACAACCCAGACCGCCAGCUAAGGUCCCAAAGUCAUGGUUAAGUGGGAAACGAUGUGGGAAGGCCCAGACAGCCAGGAUGUUGGCUUAGAAGCAGCCAUCAUUUAAAGAAAGCGUAAUAGCUCACUGGUCGAGUCGGCCUGCGCGGAAGAUGUAACGGGGCUAAACCAUGCACCGAAGCUGCGGCAGCGACGCUUAUGCGUUGUUGGGUAGGGGAGCGUUCUGUAAGCCUGCGAAGGUGUGCUGUGAGGCAUGCUGGAGGUAUCAGAAGUGCGAAUGCUGACAUAAGUAACGAUAAAGCGGGUGAAAAGCCCGCUCGCCGGAAGACCAAGGGUUCCUGUCCAACGUUAAUCGGGGCAGGGUGAGUCGACCCCUAAGG
RNAcentral lists this ribosomal RNA (806 nucleotides) under Escherichia coli. RNAcentral describes it as "partial 23S ribosomal RNA". It matches the Rfam family "Bacterial large subunit ribosomal RNA", at positions 591 to 1396 of the family's 2925-position model. Lineage: Bacteria; Pseudomonadati; Pseudomonadota; Gammaproteobacteria; Enterobacterales; Enterobacteriaceae. The record is from RNAcentral.